RNAcentral lists this ribosomal RNA (773 nucleotides) under uncultured Neocallimastigales. RNAcentral describes it as "partial large subunit ribosomal RNA". It matches the Rfam family "Eukaryotic large subunit ribosomal RNA", at positions 24 to 648 of the family's 3401-position model. Lineage: Eukaryota; Fungi; Neocallimastigomycota; Neocallimastigomycetes; Neocallimastigales. The record is from RNAcentral.
UAUGUGAUCGUCUCUCGCAUAUCAAUAAGCGGAGGAAAAGAAACUAACAAGGAUUCCCCUAGUAACGGCGAGUGAAGCGGGAAGAGCUCAAAUUUGAAAUCUUAAAGGGUUUCCCUUUACGAAUUGUAGUUUAAAGAAGUGUUUUCUGUUGAGGUUUUGGUAAAAGUUCUUUGGAAUAGGACAUCAUAGAGGGUGAGAAUCCCGUAUUUGACCUUUACUUUCAACUUUGUGAUACACUUUCAAAGAGUCGGAUUGUUUGGGAAUGCAGUCCAAAAUGGGUGGUAAAUUUCAUCUAAAGCUAAAUAUUGGCGAGAGACCGAUAGCGAACAAGUACCGUGAGGGAAAGAUGAAAAGAACUUUGAAAAGAGAGUUAAACAGUACGUGAAAUUGUCAAAAGGGAAGCGUUUGACACCAGUGUUGUUUUUCUGAAAAUCAAUUAAAGAACUGUUUAUGCUAAGUUGUUUAGACUUUAUCAGCUAACUGUUUAGUUUUGAGCUUUUCUUUAAUGCACUUUUCAGUUAACAAGUCAACAUCAAUUUCUUUUGCUGUAAAAAAGCUUGAGGAAGGUGGCUUGAGAUUCGUCUUAAGUGUUUAUAGCCUCUUGCCUAUGCAGUCGGAGAGAUUGAGGUCUGCAGCGUAGAUCCUUCGGGGCUAAAUGCAUUUGUGCUAAGUUAUAGCAUUUUAUAGACAACUUGUUGACUAUGAUUUGUCUUGUAGCUUACUCGCUUAUGUUAUUUUACCUACGCUUAGGAUGUUGAGUAGCGACAUACGCA